UGGGGAAUAUUGCACAAUGGGCGCAAGCCUGAUGCAGCAACGCCGCGUGAGGGACGACGGCCUUCGGGUUGUAAACCUCUUUUAGUAGGGAAGAAGCGAAAGUGACGGUACCUGCAGAAAAACGCACCGGCUAACUACGUGCCAGCAGCCGCGGUAAUACGUAGGGUGCGAGCGUUGUCCGGAAUUAUUGGGCGUAAAGAGCUCGUAGGCGGUCUGUCGCGUCUGCUGUGAAAAUCCCGAGGCUCAACCUCGGGCCUGCAGUGGGUACGGGCAGACUAGAGUGCGGUAGGGGAGAAUGGAAUUCCUGGUGUAGCGGUGGAAUGCGCAGAUAUCAGGAGGAACACCGAUGGCGAAGGCAGUUCUCUGGGCCCGUAACUGACGCUGAGGAGCGAAAGCGUGGGGAGCGAACAGGAUUAGAUACCCUGGUAGUCCACGCCGUAAACGUUGGGCGCUAGAUGUGGGGCACCAUUCCACGGUUUCCGUGUC
RNAcentral lists this ribosomal RNA (486 nucleotides) under uncultured bacterium. Its description in RNAcentral is "partial 16S ribosomal RNA". It matches the Rfam family "Bacterial small subunit ribosomal RNA", at positions 355 to 847 of the family's 1533-position model. The record is from RNAcentral.